AGCGGUGAUUUUUAGUUUUACAGUGGUUAUUUUUCAUAUUUGGGGGUUUGUAGAUGGUGGCAGUGGUCUAUAGAUGGUGGUGGUUAUUGUAGUGAUUUAUAUUAAAUCUGGUGAUUUUUAUUAUGAUUUUGGUAGUCGGAGUUGAUAAAUGGAGCUGGUGGCCGGACUUAUGAAUAUGAAUAGUGGGUGGGUGUAGAAAUUUUUGUUUUAUGGUGGUCAUUUUCAGUUUUUCAGUGGUGAUUUUUAAUUUUCCGAUGGUGAUUUUCGGUUUGACGGUGGUGAUUUUAUGUUUGCCGGUGGUGAUUUUCUGGUGGUCACUGGAGGUGGCUGUGGCCGGAAAUGAUGGUCGGCGGUGGUGGGAGGUGGCUACUGGUGGAAUUAGAAUGGUGAUGGUGAUAAAAUAUUUAAAUAUUAAAAAUUAAUGUGUGGUGAGAGAUUAAUGUAAUUUAUAAAAUGAAUGGAUAGGAUUGGAUCUCAUAUCUCACAAUAAUAGUGGUUCUCACUGGAGCAUGAC
RNAcentral lists this long non-coding RNA (514 nucleotides) under Daucus carota (carrot). Its description in RNAcentral is "long non-coding RNA (DCAR_LNC007304)". The record is from RNAcentral. Lineage: Eukaryota; Viridiplantae; Streptophyta; Magnoliopsida; Apiales; Apiaceae.